GAUGAACGCUGGCGGCGUGCUUAACACAUGCAAGUCGAACGAAGCAUUUGCGACAGAUUUUUUCGGAGUGAAGUUGCUUAUGACUGAGUGGCGGACGGGUGAGUAACGCGUGGGUAACCUGCCUUGUACUGGGGGAUAGCAGCUGGAAACGGCUGGUAAUACCGCAUAAGCGCACAAUGUUGCAUGACAUGGUGUGAAAAACUCCGGUGGUAUAAGAUGGACCCGCGUCUGAUUAGCUAGUUGGUGAGAUAACAGCCCACCAAGGCGACGAUCAGUAGCCGACCUGAGAGGGUGACCGGCCACAUUGGGACUGAGACACGGCCCAGACUCCUACGGGAGGCAGCAGUGGGGAAUAUUGCACAAUGGAGGAAACUCUGAUGCAGCGACGCCGCGUGAGUGAAGAAGUAAUUCGUUAUGUAAAGCUCUAUCAGCAGGGAAGAUAGUGACGGUACCUGACUAAGAAGCUCCGGCUAAAUACGUG
This 481-nucleotide ribosomal RNA is filed under the name uncultured bacterium. RNAcentral describes it as "partial 16S ribosomal RNA". It matches the Rfam family "Bacterial small subunit ribosomal RNA", at positions 28 to 507 of the family's 1533-position model. The record is from RNAcentral.